UGCUGCAGCUAAGUAGGGUGGACUGGGU
This 28-nucleotide non-coding RNA is filed under the name Rattus norvegicus (Norway rat). Lineage: Eukaryota; Metazoa; Chordata; Mammalia; Rodentia; Muridae. The record is from RNAcentral.